Molecule: ribosomal RNA, 460 nt
Filed under: uncultured bacterium
Lineage: Bacteria
Description: partial 16S ribosomal RNA
Rfam family: Bacterial small subunit ribosomal RNA
Source: RNAcentral
CCUACGGGUGGCAGCAGUGAGGAAUAUUGGUCAAUGGGCUUACGCCUGAACCAGCCAAGUCGCGUGAGGGAAGACUGCCCUAUGGGUUGUAAACCUCUUUUGUCAGGGAGCAACGCCGGCUACGUGUAGCCUGACUGAGAGUACCUGAAGAAAAAGCAUCGGCUAACUCCGUGCCAGCAGCCGCGGUAAUACGGAGGAUGCGAGCGUUAUCCGGAUUUAUUGGGUUUAAAGGGUGCGUAGGCGGAAUGCCAAGUCAGCGGUUAAAUCGCGGGGCUCAACCUCGCUCCGCCGUUGAUACUGGCGGUCUUGAGUGGGCGAGAAGUAGGCGGAAUGAGUGGAGUAGCGGUGAAAUGCAUAGAUAUCACGCAGAACUCCGAUUGCGAAGGCAGCAUACCGGAGCGCAACUGACGCUGAAGCACGAAAGCGUGGGUAGCGAACAGGAUUAGAUACCCUAGUAGUC